AGCAGAGUUUGAUCAUGGCUCAGGACGAACGCUGGCGGCAUGCCUAACACAUGCAAGUCGAACGCGUGUAGCAAUACACGAGUGGCGCACGGGUGAGUAACGCGUGGGAACCUGCCCUGGAGUGUGGGAUAACCCGGCGAAAGCCGGGCUAAUACCGCAUACGACCUGAGGGUGAAAGAUUUAUCGCUCUUGGAGGGGCCCGCGUCGGAUUAGCUAGUUGGUGGGGUAAUGGCCUACCAAGGCAGUGAUCGGUAGCUGGUCUGAGAGGAUGGUCAGCCACACUGGGACUGAGACACGGCCCAAACUCCUACGGGAGGCAGCAGUGGGGAGUAUUGCACAAUG
This 342-nucleotide ribosomal RNA is filed under the name uncultured bacterium. Its description in RNAcentral is "bacterial SSU rRNA". It matches the Rfam family "Bacterial small subunit ribosomal RNA", at positions 1 to 373 of the family's 1533-position model. The record is from RNAcentral.